This 460-nucleotide ribosomal RNA is filed under the name uncultured bacterium. RNAcentral describes it as "partial 16S ribosomal RNA". It matches the Rfam family "Bacterial small subunit ribosomal RNA", at positions 338 to 795 of the family's 1533-position model. The record is from RNAcentral.
CCUACGGGUGGCAGCAGUGAGGAAUAUUGCUCAAUGGACGCAAGUCUGAACCAGCCACGCCGCGUGCAGGAAGACGGCUCUAUGAGUUGUAAACUGCUUUUGUACGAGGGUAAAUGCAGAUACGUGUAUCAGGCUGAAAGUAUCGUACGAAUAAGGAUCGGCUAACUCCGUGCCAGCAGCCGCGGUAAUACGGAGGAUUCAAGCGUUAUCCGGAUUUAUUCGGUUUAAAGGGUGCGUAGGCGGUCGGAUAAGUUAGAGGUGAAAUCUCGAGGCUCAACUUCGGAAUUGCCUCUGAUACUGUUCGGCUAGAGGGUAGUUGCGGUAAGCGGAAUGUAUGGUGUAGCGGUGAAAUGCUUAGAGAUCAUACAGAACACCGAUUGCGAAGGCAGCUUACCAGGCUGCUACUGACGUUGAGGCACGAAAGCGUGGGGAGCAAACAGGAUUAGAUACCCUUGUAGUC